This is a regulatory RNA element of Flavobacterium sp. 316, 36 nucleotides long. It matches the Rfam family "DUF805b RNA". From Rfam's summary of the family: Bacteroidetes, Chlorobi (1 example), Proteobacteria. Lineage (Flavobacteria) The record is from Rfam. NCBI's taxonomy places the organism in Bacteria, Pseudomonadati, Bacteroidota, Flavobacteriia, Flavobacteriales, Flavobacteriaceae.
AAGACGUAAGCCGAAAAGUCAACAAUAGAGUAGGCA